UCAGGGCGAUUAGGCCUCCUGACUAACUUCCUGAAAACAUUUUGUCAGGGCGAUUAGGCCUCCUGACUAACUUCAUUUUGUCAGGGCGAUUAGGCCUCCUGACUAUACUGACUCAAUAAUAGGGGCGGUUAGGCCUCCCUGCUCAUACUCUUUAUGCUUGACUCUUCCAUUACUCUUUUCUCGACUUUUCAUGUCAUACUGAGGGCUAAAGGGUUAUUCAACAUUCAUCCGCAUACUCAUCCAGUUAUGCAAUGCAGCAUCUUCAUGGUUCUAGUGCAACAACCUAUUAUCUCAUGGCAUUCAUGAUGCAUGUCUCAUGUUCGUCACAUUAUUAUCUUUUAGUAUUACCCAUCCUAGCAUUAACAUGGCAAUUAUGAUGCAUGGAUCAUGCUGAAACAUUCUUUAAUUUAAAAC
This 414-nucleotide long non-coding RNA is filed under the name Manihot esculenta (cassava). Its description in RNAcentral is "long non-coding RNA (MESC_LNC012470)". The record is from RNAcentral. Lineage: Eukaryota; Viridiplantae; Streptophyta; Magnoliopsida; Malpighiales; Euphorbiaceae.